UACGUAGGGUGCGAGCGUUAAUCGGAAUUACUGGGCGUAAAGGGUGCGCAGGCGGCCGCGCAAGUCGAGUGUGAAAUCCCCGAGCUUAACUUGGGAAUUGCGCUCGAAACUACGUGGCUGGAGUGUGGCAGAGGAAGGUGGAAUUCCACGUGUAGCGGUGAAAUGCGUAGAUAUGUGGAGGAACACCGAUGGCGAAGGCAGCCUUCUGGGCCAACACUGACGCUCAUGCACGAAAGCGUGGGGAGCAAACAGG
This 253-nucleotide ribosomal RNA is filed under the name uncultured bacterium. Its description in RNAcentral is "partial 16S ribosomal RNA". It matches the Rfam family "Bacterial small subunit ribosomal RNA", at positions 524 to 776 of the family's 1533-position model. The record is from RNAcentral.